AGUCCUUCGCCGUCCCUCGCCGUCCUUCGCCAUCGCACGCCACCGCACCCCAUCUCUCGAAAUCUGCAGACAUCUUGAUUUUUCCCACGCUGUCUGUCAGGUCUCCGCCGCCACUCGACGCCAGGGCGCCGGGUGAGUCCACAGCAGGGCGCAUGGUCGGCUCCACUCUCACCAUCGGGGGAAACUGAGGCCCCGGGGAAGGCGGCCAGAGAGGUCAGGCCCUGUCCUUGGUGCAGUGUCUCGUCCUCUUUGCCGGAGUGAGCCCCCCAGGAUUCGCGUGUCCUCGGGAAAGACACUGGCAGGCCUUGUGGGCUGUGCUGCACCUCGGACGGCUUCGCACCAGCCAGCGCCCUCUCUCUCCUGCAGCACUCUGAUCUGCACCCCCUGAGGGGCUUCCACUGUCCGCGGGGUGAGAAUGCCCCUGGGAGUGUCACAUGACUGCCGCCCCAUGUGUGUGAGAGGCGUCCUCUGGGAGAGCAUGGAUCCUGAGGUCCCAGGAACAUCCCGAGAGCCAAGUUCCCAGAUGCCAGCCAAGGGCCAUCUGACCUGUUUUGAAUCUCAAUUUCCUGAUACAGAAAACAAAGGAUUGUCAGCUGACCUCUGUCCUGUGUGCCCAGUGGCCCCAGGUGACGUGUCUUCAAGAAGAGGCUGAGCUGCGGUGCUUGUAAGGUCUCAGCCUUAGAUCCAAGGACAGUCCAAGGAAGUCCUAAGACCAUGGAGUUGGUGAUCUGGGAUCUGGGUUUGCUGAUAUUUCUCACCGUGAAUCUCUUGGUGGUGUUUGUGGGCACGAGAGGGGCAGAGAAUGGAGAGUGAGGCUACCACAUGAAGCGUCACCAGAGCUGCUCCCUGCUGCCUGCUCAGAGCACCCCGGAUCCACUGUUCAAUCUGCACAAGAUUCGGGGUCCAGACAUGGGAGACUUCAGCUGCCUCAGAGGACCGUGGACAGGGAAGGCCAGCCUCGCAUCCCUCUGUCCAUGCCUGGAAUGACUUUAAUAACCAAGAGUUUUAUUUUUGAAUUUGUAGCUGUCGUUCACUUUUUACCCACCCAUUCAAUAAACCUUACAGAAUUGCUCCA
Molecule: long non-coding RNA, 1075 nt
Filed under: Homo sapiens (human)
Lineage: Eukaryota; Metazoa; Chordata; Mammalia; Primates; Hominidae
Description: small nucleolar RNA host gene 17, transcript variant 60 (SNHG17)
Source: RNAcentral